Molecule: ribosomal RNA, 506 nt
Filed under: uncultured bacterium
Lineage: Bacteria
Description: partial 16S ribosomal RNA
Rfam family: Bacterial small subunit ribosomal RNA
Source: RNAcentral
AUUGAACGCUGGCGGCAUGCCUAACACAUGCAAGUCGAACGGCAGCGCGUUUGGGGUAACCCAAAUGGCGGCGAGUGGCGGACGGGUGAGUAAUAUGUAGGAAUCUGCCUUGAGGAGAGGGAUAACGUAGGGAAACUUACGCUAAUACCAUAUAAGUUCUACGGAAGAAAGCGGGGGAUCGAAAGACCUCGCGCCUUAAGAUGAGCCUACAUCGGAUUAGCUUGUUGGCGGGGUAAAGGCCCACCAAGGCGACGAUCCGUAGCUGGUCUGAGAGGAUGACCAGCCACACUGGGACUGAGACACGGCCCAGACUCCUACGGGAGGCAGCAGUGGGGAAUAUUGGACAAUGGGGGCAACCCUGAUCCAGCAAUGCCGCGUGUGUGAAGAAGGCCUUCGGGUUGUAAAGCACUUUCAGUGGGGAGGAAGGGGUUCGUGUUAAUACCGCGAAUCAUUGACGUUACCUACAGAAGAAGCACCGGCUAACUCUGUGCCAGCCGCCGCCGUAA